Molecule: ribosomal RNA, 484 nt
Filed under: uncultured bacterium
Lineage: Bacteria
Description: partial 16S ribosomal RNA
Rfam family: Bacterial small subunit ribosomal RNA
Source: RNAcentral
AUUGAACGCUGGCGGCAGGCCUAACACAUGCAAGUCGAGCGGAUGAAGGGAGCUUGCUCCUGGAUUCAGCGGCGGACGGGUGAGUAAUGCCUAGGAAUCUGCCUGGUAGUGGGGGAUAACGUCCGGAAACGGGCGCUAAUACCGCAUACGUCCCGAGGGAGAAAGUGGGGGAUCUUCGGACCUCACGCUAUCAGAUGAGCCUAGGUCGGAUUAGCUAGUUGGUGGGGUAAAGGCCUACCAAGGCGACGAUCCGUAACUGGUCUGAGAGGAUGAUCAGUCACACUGGAACUGAGACACGGUCCAGACUCCUACGGGAGGCAGCAGUGGGGAAUAUUGGACAAUGGGCGAAAGCCUGAUCCAGCCAUGCCGCGUGUGUGAAGAAGGUCUUCGGAUUGUAAAGCACUUUAAGUUGGGAGGAAGGGCAGUAAGUUAAUACCUUGCUGUUUUGACGGUACCAACAGAAUAAGCACCGGCUAACUUCGUG